UACGUAGGCGGAAGAUUAAGUCAGUGGUGAAAUCCUGCAGCUUAACUGUAGAACUGUCAUUGAUACUGGUUUUCUUGAAUUUAGUUGAGGUAGGCGGAAUGUGUAAUGUAGCGGUGAAAUGCAUAGAUAUUACACAGAACACCGAUUUCGAAGGCAGCUUACUAAACUAUGAUUGACGCUGAGGUACGAAAGCGUGGGGAGCGAACAGGAUUAGAUACCCUGGUAGUCC
Molecule: ribosomal RNA, 229 nt
Filed under: uncultured bacterium
Lineage: Bacteria
Description: partial 16S ribosomal RNA
Rfam family: Bacterial small subunit ribosomal RNA
Source: RNAcentral